Molecule: long non-coding RNA, 2985 nt
Organism: Astatotilapia calliptera (eastern happy)
Lineage: Eukaryota; Metazoa; Chordata; Actinopteri; Cichliformes; Cichlidae
Source: Ensembl
AGAGAAAGAAGCUAAACAAGAAAUAAUCAGAUGAAGACAAUGAAAUGGAUGAAGACUAAAGAUUGGGGGGGACAACACAAACAGUUACCCUCGGUACAUUUAACAUUGAGCCCAGCAGGCGACAACAAUGGUGUCAGCAAGACUCUUCUCGGUCUGAACGUUGCUAGAUUUCUCUUUGGCUGAUUUCAGUGUGCUUGGGCAGCACAAAGUUAAAACAAUUGGGAGGGUUUUUUUUUUCCUUUUUUCCAUUGUGCCCAGCAGGUCUCAACUCAUAUAAAGACACAAAGGUUGCAGGUGCUUCAUGGUACUGCACAGCUCUUAUAUUGACAAACUGCUGCUUGAUUGUCAAGAAUGGGAAGCUGGAGUCUUAAGCAUGCUAAAUCCUUUGCUAUGAUGGUACUUCGGUGAGGAGUGUUUCUUUUCAAGGUUUCCCAAGGGGACGCUACUGAGAAGCUGGCUCACCAAGUCGCGGCCCAGGUUGCUGCUACUGAUCGCAGGCUUGAAGAGGCCUCAGGUGACCCUCAUGAGGCGGAAAAGGAUGAAGCGCACAAAAGUAGCAAAGGCCACGUAAGCGAACCUGCAGCCGAAUGCCCCACUUCACCUCAGUCCUUAAAGGAUAGGAUGUACUUCCUGGAUACGGAAGAGAAAGAAAAAGAAGACUUGUGUGUUGGAUCUUUGCCCCAGCAACGAACUAAUAUCAGAGAACCACAAAACAGAAUGAAGCUAGAGGAUAAACCACACAGACUGAAACCUCCGGACUAAUCAUUAUUAGACCCAGACCUGGACUACCAACUUCACCUGUUUCUUCAAAUAUGCAUCUGUUUUGGCUCAUUAGACGCUAAUGGUGGUAGCUUCUAAAUUAUUCUACAUUAUUCCUGUCCAGAGAAUAACUCUUAGUAGACCAAAUACAGCUGACAUUGUGUUCAUACCCUGCUGUCUAAACUUUUUGAUGGGCAUCAACUCUUGCUUCACAUUCUUAUGUCAGAUUAAAACUUUUCAAUUAGCUCAUUUCCACAAAGUACGGAGCCCUACAAACCAAGAAAAUGUGAACAUCAGCACAUUCAUAUAUAGGUGAUUUACAAAUUUCUCAGUUUCUAGACUGAGAAACAGGAGCAAAAUACAUAUACUAGUCAUAUCUAUAAUCACAACAUUGCAAAUAAUAGUAAAGCAAAUAAUACAGUUGCUUUAUUACUUGUGCUGUCGUUGCAAGACACGCACUCAAGUAACAUUAAGUUGUUACCUGACUAUUAGAGGAACAUUUGCAGACUACAUCCUAUAGGUUUUAGGUCAAUUUUGGAGGACAACUCUUUUUCAUAUUUCCAUAGAAAAAGUUUUGGAACCUUACACAAGCACCUUGAGGCAACUUGCUGUGAUUUGGUACUAUAUGGAAUAAAAUGGAAUUGAAUUGAAUUACUUUUCCUGACAUAAUAAAAUCCUCUCACAACAUCAGAAAAUUAAAGUUUGUGAGGUUCUCUGCUUGGGUAAUAAGUUUACAGUCCCUAUUGUAACAACAGAUCCAUUGAGAAAUAAAAUAUCAUACGGUAGAAGGUAUGAGCUCUGAGAAAUGGUCUUACUGAUGUGUGGUGUAGUGAUGUGCUUACUUUGAAAAAAAAUUCAGUAAAUGGGUUUUUUAAAAAAGGAUAUGUGCUUCAAUGCAACAUAUCUAGGACUGCUUUCUUCCAUUUGUGCAAUAUCUCUCAAAUUUGAAAUGAAGCUGAAAAAAUAGUUCAUGCAUUUAUUACUUCUGGGCUGGAAUUCUGGAAUGUGUUAUUAUGUCCUUAAAAUGUAUUGAAAAGCCUUUAGUUGAUCCAAAUUCUGGAGCAAGACUACUGACAGGCUAAAAAGACAGAGCAGGAAAAAAUACAGAAAUGAACUUAAAAUCCUGCUCCUCACAUAGAAGCUGGUGAAUAAUCAGGCCUUAUCUUGUCAUAAUAGCCUUAUAGUGCAAUAUCACCCCAUUAGAGCACUUCCCUCUCUGACUGCAGGCUUACUAGUAGUUCCUUGAGUAUAUAAAAGUAGAAAUUGAAUGGGAGAAAGUAGAAUGGGAGGCAGAGCCUUCAGCUUUAAGGGCCCUCUUCUAUUGAACCAGCUUUCCAGUUAGGAUAUAGAACACCCUCUAUACUUUUAAGAUUAGGCUUAAAACUUUCCUUUUUGAUUAACCAUAUAGUUAGGGCUGGAUCAGGUGACCCUGAAUCCUCACUCAGUUACUCUGGAAUACGUGUGCUGGUGGAUUCCCCAUGCUGGGGAUGCAUUAAGUGUUUUUUCUUCAGUCCUCUUUUUCACCUCACUAUGUGUGCCAUUAUUAGUUAUUAUGAAUUUCUGUCUCUCUUCCACAGCAUGUCUUUUGUCCUGUUUUUCUCCUCUCCCCAAGCAGCCACAUCAGACAGCCACCCCUCCUUCAGCCGGGUUCUGCAGGAGGUCGCCAAAGUAUUUGCUCAUAGAGGGUCAUUAGAUCGUUAAGAUUUUCUCUGUUUCUUUGUGUUAUUGUAGGGUCUUUACCUUACAUUAUAAAGCACCUUGAGGCAGCCGUUGUUGUGAUGUGGUGCUGCAUAAAUAUAAUCAAAUUGAAUUGUAUUGAAAAGGAGAUAGAAGAAACAUUGUGGGCAAAUAGGUUUUCAAGUAGUUUGAACUAAGAGUGAUGUCUCAUUUCCUUCUAAUCUGAUACCAAGUAACUUAAUGUGCUUUGAAAAUCAAAAUAAAAAAGUGUAUUUCAAAUUAUACCUUGAAUAAAAGACAUCAUACUACCUUUUCUUAUUUUUUAAUUAUGAAAAAUUAUCAUACAAGAAAUAAAAAAUCUGAAAAGUCAAUGGUUAUAUUUAAAAAUAUUUAAUUAACAAUCACUCAAAACACAUGUGACUGACUGAAAAUAAUAAUAAAGCUGGGAAACAUUUUAUAAAUACAUGUUAUCAUCUUACUAUCCUUACCUAAACCUUGUUUUACCCCAUGUACGUUGUAUUUUUUAACGACACCUAGCCUAUAAAAUCC